RNAcentral lists this ribosomal RNA (2928 nucleotides) under Cronobacter sakazakii. Its description in RNAcentral is "bacterial LSU rRNA". It matches the Rfam family "Bacterial large subunit ribosomal RNA". The record is from RNAcentral. Lineage: Bacteria; Pseudomonadati; Pseudomonadota; Gammaproteobacteria; Enterobacterales; Enterobacteriaceae.
GGGUUGUGAGGUUAAGCGAACAAGCGUACACGGUGGAUGCCCUGGCAGUCAGAGGCGAUGAAGGACGUGCUAAUCUGCGAAAAGCGCCGGUAAGGUGAUAUGAACCGUUAUAACCGGCGAUGUCCGAAUGGGGAAACCCGGUGCACUUCGGUGCAUCAUCGUUAGCUGAAUACAUAGGCUAACGAGGCGAACCGGGGGAACUGAAACAUCUAAGUACCCCGAGGAAAAGAAAUCAACCGAGAUUCCCCCAGUAGCGGCGAGCGAACGGGGAACAGCCCAGAGCCUGAAUCAGCUUGUGUGUCAGUGGAACGGUCUGGAAAGGCCGGCGAUACAGGGUGACAGCCCCGUACACGAAGGCACACAGGCUGUGAGCUCGAUGAGUAGGGCGGGACACGUGAUAUCCUGUCUGAAGAUGGGGGGACCAUCCUCCAAGGCUAAAUACUCCUGACUGACCGAUAGUGAACCAGUACCGUGAGGGAAAGGCGAAAAGAACCCCGGCGAGGGGAGUGAAACAGAACCUGAAACCGUGUACGUACAAGCAGUGGGAGCCUUCGUAAGAGGGUGACUGCGUACCUUUUGUAUAAUGGGUCAGCGACUUAUAUUCUGUAGCAAGGUUAACCGUAUAGGGGAGCCGAAGGGAAACCGAGUCUUAACCGGGCGUUAAGUUGCAGGGUAUAGACCCGAAACCCGGUGAUCUAGCCAUGGGCAGGUUGAAGGUUGGGUAACACUAACUGGAGGACCGAACCGACUAAUGUUGAAAAAUUAGCGGAUGACCUGUGGCUGGGGGUGAAAGGCCAAUCAAACCGGGAGAUAGCUGGUUCUCCCCGAAAGCUAUUUAGGUAGCGCCUCGUGAACUCAUCUCCGGGGGUAGAGCACUGUUUCGGCUAGGGGGCCAUCCCGGCUUACCAACCCGAUGCAAACUGCGAAUACCGGAGAAUGUUAUCACGGGAGACACACGGCGGGUGCUAACGUCCGUCGUGAAGAGGGAAACAACCCAGACCGCCAGCUAAGGUCCCAAAGUCAUGGUUAAGUGGGAAACGAUGUGGGAAGGCCCAGACAGCCAGGAUGUUGGCUUAGAAGCAGCCAUCAUUUAAAGAAAGCGUAAUAGCUCACUGGUCGAGUCGGCCUGCGCGGAAGAUGUAACGGGGCUAAACCAUGCACCGAAGCUGCGGCAGCGACGCUUAUGCGUUGUUGGGUAGGGGAGCGUUCUGUAAGCCUGCGAAGGUGUGCUGUGAGGCAUGCUGGAGGUAUCAGAAGUGCGAAUGCUGACAUAAGUAACGAUAAAGCGGGUGAAAAGCCCGCUCGCCGGAAGACCAAGGGUUCCUGUCCAACGUUAAUCGGGGCAGGGUGAGUCGACCCCUAAGGCGAGGCCGAAAGGCGUAGUCGAUGGGAAACAGGUUAAUAUUCCUGUACUUGGUGUUACUGCGAAGGGGGGACGGAGAAGGCUAUGUCGGCCGGGCGACGGUUGUCCCGGUUUAAGCGUGUAGGCUGACUUUCCAGGCAAAUCCGGAAAGUUAAGGCUGAGGCGUGAUGACGAGGCACCACGGUGCUGAAGUGACAAAUGCCCUGCUUCCAGGAAAAGCCUCUAAGCAUCAGGUAACAUCAAAUCGUACCCCAAACCGACACAGGUGGUCAGGUAGAGAAUACCAAGGCGCUUGAGAGAACUCGGGUGAAGGAACUAGGCAAAAUGGUGCCGUAACUUCGGGAGAAGGCACGCUGACAUGUAGGUGAAGCCCCUGCGGGUGGAGCUGAAGUCAGUCGAAGAUACCAGCUGGCUGCAACUGUUUAUUAAAAACACAGCACUGUGCAAACACGAAAGUGGACGUAUACGGUGUGACGCCUGCCCGGUGCCGGAAGGUUAAUUGAUGGGGUUAUCGCAAGAGAAGCUCCUGAUCGAAGCCCCGGUAAACGGCGGCCGUAACUAUAACGGUCCUAAGGUAGCGAAAUUCCUUGUCGGGUAAGUUCCGACCUGCACGAAUGGCGUAAUGAUGGCCAGGCUGUCUCCACCCGAGACUCAGUGAAAUUGAACUCGCUGUGAAGAUGCAGUGUACCCGCGGCAAGACGGAAAGACCCCGUGAACCUUUACUACAGCUUGACACUGAACAUUGAGCCUUGAUGUGUAGGAUAGGUGGGAGGCUUUGAAGCGUGGACGCCAGUCUGCGUGGAGCCGACCUUGAAAUACCACCCUUUAAUGUUUGAUGUUCUAACCUGGCGCCAUAAUCUGGCGUGGGGACAGUGUCUGGUGGGUAGUUUGACUGGGGCGGUCUCCUCCCAAAGUGUAACGGAGGAGCACGAAGGUCAGCUAAUCCUGGUCGGACAUCAGGAGGUUAGUGCAAUGGCAUAAGCUGGCUUGACUGCGAGAGUGACGGCUCGAGCAGGUGCGAAAGCAGGUCAUAGUGAUCCGGUGGUUCUGUAUGGAAGGGCCAUCGCUCAACGGAUAAAAGGUACUCCGGGGAUAACAGGCUGAUACCGCCCAAGAGUUCAUAUCGACGGCGGUGUUUGGCACCUCGAUGUCGGCUCAUCACAUCCUGGGGCUGAAGUAGGUCCCAAGGGUAUGGCUGUUCGCCAUUUAAAGUGGUACGCGAGCUGGGUUUAGAACGUCGUGAGACAGUUCGGUCCCUAUCUGCCGUGGGCGCUGGAGAAUUGAGGGGGGCUGCUCCCAGUACGAGAGGACCGGAGUGGACGCAUCACUGGUGUUCGGGUUGUCAUGCCAAUGGCACUGCCCGGUAGCUAAAUGCGGAAGAGAUAAGUGCUGAAAGCAUCUAAGCACGAAACUUGCCCCGAGAUGAGUUCUCCCUGAGACUAUAAGUCUCCUGAAGGAACGUUGAAGACGACGACGUUGAUAGGCCGGGUGUGUAAGCGCAGCGAUGCGUUGAGCUAACCGGUACUAAUGAACCGUGAGGCUUAACCUUACAACGCCAAAGAAGU